Molecule: ribosomal RNA, 1192 nt
Filed under: uncultured bacterium
Lineage: Bacteria
Description: bacterial SSU rRNA
Rfam family: Bacterial small subunit ribosomal RNA
Source: RNAcentral
UACAGGGGGAUAGCCCAGAGAAAUUUGGAUUAAUACCUCAUAGUAUUAUGAUGUGGCAUCACAUUAUAAUUAAAGUCACAACGGUAAAAGAUGGGCAUGCGUCCCAUUAGCUAGAUGGUAAGGUAACGGCUUACCAUGGCUACGAUGGGUAGGGGUCCUGAGAGGGAGAUCCCCCACACUGGUACUGAGACACGGACCAGACUCCUACGGGAGGCAGCAGUGAGGAAUAUUGGUCAAUGGACGCAAGUCUGAACCAGCCAUGCCGCGUGCAGGAUGACGGUCCUAUGGAUUGUAAACUGCUUUUGUACGAGAAGAAACAACAUUACGUGUAAUGUCUUGACGGUAUCGUAAGAAUAAGGAUCGGCUAACUCCGUGCCAGCAGCCGCGGUAAUACGGAGGAUCCAAGCGUUAUCCGGAAUCAUUGGGUUUAAAGGGUCUGUAGGCGGUUUGGUAAGUCAGUGGUGAAAGCCCAUCGCUCAACGGUGGAACGGCCAUUGAUACUGCCAGACUUGAAUUACUGGGAAGUAACUAGAAUAUGUAGUGUAGCGGUGAAAUGCUUAGAGAUUACAUGGAAUACCAAUUGCGAAGGCAGGUUACUACCAGUGGAUUGACGCUGAUGGACGAAAGCGUGGGGAGCGAACAGGAUUAGAUACCCUGGUAGUCCACGCCGUAAACGAUGGAUACUAGCUGUUGGUGGCAACAUCAGUGGCUAAGCGAAAGUGAUAAGUAUCCCACCUGGGGAGUACGGGCGCAAGCCUGAAACUCAAAGGAAUUGACGGGGGCCCGCACAAGCGGUGGAGCAUGUGGUUUAAUUCGAUGAUACGCGAGGAACCUUACCAAGGCUUAAAUGUAGUUUGACCGAUUUGGAAACAGAUCUUUCGCAAGACAGAUUACAAGGUGCUGCAUGGUUGUCGUCAGCUCGUGCCGUGAGGUGUCAGGUUAAGUCCUAUAACGAGCGCAACCCCUGUUGUUAGUUGCCAGCGAGUAAUGUCGGGAACUCUAGCAAGACUGCCGGUGCAAACCGUGAGGAAGGUGGGGAUGACGUCAAAUCAUCACGGCCCUUACGCCUUGGGCUACACACGUGCUACAAUGGCCGGUACAGAGAGCAGCCACUUCGUGAGGAGGAGCGAAUCUAUAAAACCGGUCACAGUUCGGAUCGGAGUCUGCAACUCGACUCCGUGAAGCGGAAUCG